This is a long non-coding RNA of Parus major (Great Tit), 10595 nucleotides long. RefSeq lists it as uncharacterized. The record is from RefSeq and is a predicted model, not a curated record. NCBI's taxonomy places the organism in Eukaryota, Metazoa, Chordata, Aves, Passeriformes, Paridae. The transcript has 2 exons.
UCAAAAAAACCCAACACGAGCAGCGGGCCUCCAGCUGGGUGCCCCAUGUUUGCAGACAUUCCCCAGAGGAAAACCAUGGCUAUGUGGGAGAAGAGAAUGUUUGGAUUGCCCAGCUCCAGCUCCUGCCAUCAUCAGAGCGAUCCUGGGGAGGCAGGUAAAGAAGAGAGAUGGGAGAAUACUGCAGAAAUAAUUGCAUGAUGGUGAUUAUCUAACAGCCAGGUAGGCAUUGGGAAUCCUUAGACAGAGCUUCCCAAAUCAUGGCACAUGCCAAUGGCGGCACACAGACCACUGCCAAGUGCUGUUCAGGAAAGAGCCAAGAACUACUGCUGCCUCAGGGGCUUUCAAUAGAUAUAUCAGGUGUUGCACAUCCUCCCCUUAAGGCCUGCCCAGGGAUCCCAGAGCACACAGGCAGAGGCCUCUGUGAAAACCUGGUGAAUCCUCCUUCAGUUAUCACGGUUUGAGUGAUUCUCCUCCAGUCACCUUGUAAAUCUGAGGGAAGAUGAACAGUCUACAUUAUUGCACAUCUUACACUUUGAUCAUUCUGAGUGCCCUGGUAGGUAUUAUUACUUUUUUUAAGUACAGCUAAUUUUGCAUUAUAACAACUUUUUAAAUUAUACUUAAUUCUCUUUUUUUAAAACCAUGCAAUUUUUAAUUACUUUGCCAAAUUCAUCGCUAAUGGGUUCCCUAUACAUUAAAAAGCUAGCUAUUUUCUGCAUGUUUCCAUUUCUUUGUCAUGUUCUUAUGAGCUUGCAAAUCUGUAAGCACUUUUCUCCAUUUGCAGGCCGACGAGGGGAGGUCAGGAUGUUUAUAAAGACCCGGAAUUCAAAAAAAUUCAUUUUGUAUUUUAGUUUUGAUUACUGCCACUUAAGCGUAAUGACAACAUCCAUCCAGUUAAAAGUUUAGUUUCAUUGGAAAUUGUUGGGUUUUUUUCCAGUGAAACACUGCUAAUCAAAAAUGUAUGAGCAAUGCUUUCAUAAGUAAAAGAAAAAAAAAGGUAAAAUAAUCUCAUAAAAUAAAAUAAAAAAUGGAGAGUGAACAACUUUCUGUUCUAACACAGCCAUCUGUCAUUUAUAAAGACAUCACCCCAUUAACCUGUCUAAUCAACUCCAUUCUUUUUUCAAAGUCGUUUAGGUAAGUUUAUGAGGAGAUGUAGAUGUUCUCUUCAUUAAAUCUGUUGUAAAAUGGCCUCCUUGGUGUUCUGCUUUGUGUGCAUUUACACAUAUACAGGUAAUUACAAGUACAUAUCACUACUGUAAAUUCCAUGCUUGUCAUGUUACAGUACAUGACAUUUUCAUUUCCUCCUGGUGAAAAUGAAAUCUGAUAUUUUCUGUUCAAGCAAUAAUGACCAAUUAGAAUUUGUUAUUAUUAAUGUUUAUCCAAAAGUACUCCAAGUCAUGAGGUGGUUUCCUCCAAGGCAGCUGAAUUUAUAAUGUGGAAAAAAGGGGGUUGACAUGUUGCUAUACCACCUUCAGCCAUUUCCUCUCAAGCCUGGUUAUUCCUUCAGCAAACAGGGCGAUCCUUAUGGAAAACCCACAAUGUAAGGAAGAAUAUUACUGAGUUCAAGUUUAGAAAUGAAAACCCUGAGAUGAGCUCAGCUGGUCAGAGCCUGGUGUUAAUAAUGCCAAGGUUUUGGGUUUGACCCCUGUAUGGGACAUUCACUGAAGAGCUGGAUUCCAUGAUCCUUGUGGGAGCCUUCCAACUCAGAAUAUUCUGUGAAACCAUUCCUUUAUUUCUGUGAAACCAUUCUCCUCGCAGAAAUUUCUGAAUUUGUCUGUCUCUGACCUUUCCUCCCUGGCAUUUUGCUUUUAUCGCAGGAAGCAGGGCUCAGCUGUCAUACGACAGCUGAGGCAGUUGAGUCGCACCAGUCCUGGUGCAAUGUGGUCAAGUUAUCUACACCAGGAUUGCUUCAGUGCCCCAGGGUGCCACCAGCAAUUGGGGGAAAUAUUGCAAACUGUCCCUCAGAAGAACUGCCCAAGAAUGAAUCCAAACAACUGCGCUGCACCUGGGAGCAGAACAGGAAGGCUUCUCUAGAUGUGGCCAAAGUUUAUGGAGACAGCUCAGAUACUGAGUAUGUUUUAAAUACUUAACGCUUAGGGAAGUCCCAAAUAGGUUGUAUUUGACAAAAUGCCAGUGUUUUCACUGCAAAAUUCAGCAUUUGGAUUAUUUUUUUAAUUGCCUGCUUCUUUUGUUUACAAUAAAAUACACAUCCUCAAAUCCUGAGAUGUGUAGAUUUACACAUGUAGAGAACUAUCUAAAAUAUCCUUCAAUGGUGAUGGAAAACACCUUUAUUUUCAGAGGGGUUUGAAUCUGAGAAUGAAAACUUGUUAUAUUUUAGAUCUUCCCUCUAGAAACUUUCCUCUCUAGAGGUAACCUGAGAGAUGGACAACACACAAACCCACAGUGAAGAGAGGAGGAAAACCAGUUCUAUAUUCUAUGUAGAGAGAGGUUAAAAGACAGCAAGCAGUUGGAAUUAUGUUGAAGCAUAUCAUAGGGCAGAAAGAAGAUGAUAACUUUUGGGGUGCUCCAUUUGGAAAAUGGAAGCAGAUCUGCUCUACUCUCACUGAAAUUCAGUGGAGGAAGCUGGCUGGGGAGUGUUACAACUCAAGAAAUGGCCAGCACAUCUCUUGACAUCUCUUAGGGUAUUAUAAAUUCAAAGGCAGCCUAAAAAUAUUCAGACAUAAAUUAAAUACCCAUAACCUUGUCUCAAGCAUAAAGACAGAAGAAUGAAGAAUCUGACUGGCUAUUUUUUCCUCUCUCAUCUUUCUCAGGUCAUAAGCACCAAUGUCACAAUCACAGACAUAAUUUGGCAGCUGUUUCAUUACCGUUUUCUCUCUGAUGGAAACUGAUGCAUGGAAAAACAAGGAGUAAACUUAUACCACCUUUAUGGUCAGAAAACAACAUGAUACCAUGCAGCAGCUAUUUUUAAAAAUUUCAGAAUUGCUGGGUUUUGAAUGAUUUGUGCUUUACUGGCUCUUCCCUUAAUACUGUUUUUUUCUCAAAAAUGAAGGAGAUAGUAUCAGAAGCAGAGGGUAGAAGUAACAGUGGCAUUGGUGGCUUGUUCUGGCAGCCAGCAGACAGGAUGAGAACUUCAUGAGAAGUUGUGGAUGCCCCAUCCCUGGAAGUUUUCAAAGCCAGGCUGGAUGGGGUUUUGAGCAGUCUGGUUUAGUGGGAGGUGUCUCUGCACAUGGCAGGCAGGUUGGAAUGAGAUGAUCCUUAAGGGCCCUCCUGACCCAAAUCACUCUGUGAUUCAUGGCAGGGUGCUCUGAAGGGCAAAGGGCCACAGUCUUGGAUGCCAGCCUCCUGAAAGCACAAGGACCAUCCACCCAGAACCACAGGAAAAUGGGUGUACAGAGCAGGCAGCCAGACUGGUUGAACAGGAAACUCCUAACUCAUUUCAAAUCUGAAAAGGAAGUGUGUGGGGCUGGAAGUGAGGAUGGGCUGAACAGUAGAAACAGAAGUUUUGUGGCUCUGCAGGGAUGGAGUUGGGUGUUGCUGCUGCAUGUUGCCAGACCUUAGAAAUUAAAAAAAAACAAUUUAUCCACAACCUUAGAAAUUAAAAAAAACUUGAAUGCAGAAAACCCUGAGCAACCAGACUGAACUUUCCAACAUAAAUUACUCAAUGAUUCUAUGUUCUUUACAGGAAUCAGAGUUGAACAGGCCAGGCUAGACCGCUUCCCUCAGGACACUGUCCAUCUUAGUUUUUACUCAGAAAGGCUACUUGCCAUUUUAACUUAGUCAUAUGAAAUGAACCUAACUUAAUCCUUACAUUUCUGGCAGACUUAAUUUGUAUAACAUGUAUGUACGACUGUAUGCAUUUCUUUCUUGAAGGGGAUGUUGGUUUUCAAAUCAGGAUCUGCAUUGUUAUGAAGAUUUAAAGAUGGAACCAACUAACAUCUGGAUUUAAUGUAAGGUAGAAUUGUUCUUUUCUAAAGAAAUACAGGCUGAAGUCUACCUUUUCGUUGUAUCUUCCUAUGUGCACAGGCAGUUUAUAAAUAUAUGAUGUGCUAUUUUGUAAUGAGAGGUACUUCAAGUUCUUGUUAAAAAUUGUCUCAUUUUGAAGAAUAAGAUAAUGAUUCAUUUUGAACAUUUGUAGUUAUUUAAAAAAGAGUUUUACAAAUGUUUUCUGAUAGCCAGUCACAUCAGAAGAAAAAAAAUUCCAUGUGUUGUUAGCAUGAUGAAAAAUAAAGAAUACAAGAGUAGCAGAAAUUUUCUACAAUAAUCACUGCACUUUUUAUACAACAUUUUAUAUAAAUGAAUGUAUCUAAAAUAUUUAUAGUAGGGAAGUGAACUAGAUGACUUCUUAAUGGCACUUCCUGUAAAAUAUUUCUGUGAUUUCUUUGUCAGGAUAUCUCAUUAUUACAGACAUAAGCCCAGGGUUGAGAAGUAUUUCUGCAUAAGCUCAUGCAUAUUGAAAUAUGCUGAGGUCUCUUUAAUUAGAUCAUUGUAUUUAGCUGAAAAAGAUCCAAUAAAGAAGGCCUAAGUGUUGAAAUAAAUGUUUACAUGAUCUGGUAGUGCAGCUGGACUGAUUUUGAUGAAAAUGUCAUGGGUGAAUUUUUGCCCCUUUUAUAUUUUGAGUACACUUCCAGUAGAAUGGCAAGGGUAUUUAUACAUUUCAGAAAAAUCUCUAUUUCAACUUAAACUUGUAUCUUAAAAGGAUACAGAAUCAAAAUAGGUGUUAUCAGAUGUUAACAUGUAACCUCAUUGUUUAAAUGUAAUAAAAAUAGCAUACUGGAGAUUUGCUUAAAGAAAGAAUCAAAAACUGAGCAAAGGAUUUGAGAUUCAGAUGUAAAAAAUAACUCUAAAUAUCCACAUGUUUUUAAAGGCUUGAAUUCCAGCAUUACAGGAGUGUGAAUGUUGUUUGGGACUGGAUAUAAUAUUAUUCUAGUGAUAAGUGUAUUUGCUGCUUUUUGAAAAAGGAUUUUCCACUAAAAUCAUGUCUGCCAGAUUUCCUACAUCCCUUGCUUCCCUCAAGUAUUUUGGAGGCUCCCAUCAUCUUAAUGUAAGCUGUAAAAGGGAUGAUUUGGCCCUGGGACCACAUAUGCAGCAGUUCCUAUGACACUUCAGACAGCUGGUAGUCUGAAAAGCACAAUUUGAAAUCACUUAUGUGAGCAAAUAAUCAUUUUCUCCACUUAAUAAAUUAAUUUAAAGAGCCACAUUGUAAAAUUAUACUGCAAGCCAUUCCUGAUCCUUGAGAUGAAACAUGCUACUCUUCAAAUAAUGUUGUACAGUGAAAUACUUAUUCCUUGGAAGGAAAAAAAAAAAUAAAAUCAAAGAAAUACCUUAAUUUAGCUGUGGUAUCUGAUAUUUCAUGUUUUUAACAUAUAGACCCAGUAUGUGAUGAUUGGGUAAAUAGACAUUCAGGCAUAUAUGCCUUUUAGAAAAAAACUUUUAAAGUCUCAUUUUCUUAAUUUGAAGUGGGUGCUGGAUAAUAUGCAUGAGGAAAGCCAGAAUUUUUUUGCCAUCUACAGCAUAGUGGUAAUCUUCUUGCAUAAUGAAGUGCUAACUAAGUCAUGCUUUUGGAGAAUGAUAUAAAGUGUGAUUCCAGCACCAAGAGACUGUGAAAAAGCAGGACACCAUGGUGUCUCAGUAAUUUCAGCAUAGGAUAUGCUGAGUUUGCAAGGAAAAAAAGGUGGGAAUGUUUGGUUUGGGAUUUUUUUCCCCUUCCUAAUUUCCAGCUUCCCAAACUCCUCCUUGGGGAUUUUUACGUCUCAUGUAUGAUUAGUUGGAAUAAAUUAUCACCAGACUAAAUUGCAUGAUUGACUGUAGCUGAGUUGGCAGAGAGAAGGGGAGAUUUUAAGCUGCACUAUGGGCAAAUUUGAUGGGCAAUAACUGACAAAGAAAGUUUUCAACCACUUCAGUAUAGCUUUUUUACAAAAUAAUACCUUAUAGGAGAAUCAGAGCUUUCAGAAUAGCAUAAUAAUGAGCUAAAACUAGUUUGUAUAAAAAGAUUCAUGAUAUCCCAGUUACAGGAAAACUCACUAGCAAUUUUAUGAAUGAAUUCCAUAUUGUUCUAACAAACAUCAAGAAAAAAUCCCAGGGAAUUGAGAAGCAUAGAAAUAAACUUUUGCUAAUCAAUCCUUGGCUUAAAAAAUGGGAAAAAUAAAAGAGAAUACACAAAAAUGCCCUAAAAUAGGUAAAUCUGAACAAUCAACUGAAGCAUAACCUAAAAGAGUAGAGAAUUAUGGAGCACAGCAUUAUCUGUCCCCCCACACUGUCUAAUUUGCAAAAGUAAAUUAUUAGGAGGCAGCAUAUAACAUCUGGCCUCUAUUCCCUACAGAGGCCACAUUUAAUUUUACUAAGAGACCAUUAUUUUGUCUACACAGCUUUCUGCUCUUUCAACCAGAGAACUCUUAGGACUCUGGCUCUGCCAGUGUCCUCCAAAGCAGCAGCAGAAAGAAAUGGAUGGAGAUUCUGGGGAAGAGGGCAGGAGUGGCCGCUUCCAGGGAAGGGAGUAAUACGAGAACUGAGAGGGGCUGGAAAUUCACUGUGCUCCCUGUUAUUACAAAUGCUGGGAAGUGAUCCAUGCCAGAAGUAGUUUUUUAUUUGUAAUUUAUGUCUUAUUCCAUGAUGUUUUGCUACAGUGGGAUCCAAACUAUUCCAAGUAUUUUUAGUUAACAAGGAUGCAAAAAAGAAUAAUUAUACAUCCAUUCAAGAAAAUAGGACAGCAGCGAGAUUCUCAUGUGAGCCAGGGCUCUAAAGAAAAUGUUGCCAAUGAGGCAUAAGGCUGCCUGGAUCUGGACUUACACUGUGCUGUAAAUACUUUGGGUGAGUUAAAUAAUGUAAAUUUGAAGCAAAAGCAAAAGCAGAGCAUUAAAUAGGCUGUAGAAAUGCUAUAGAAAAGGAUAUCCUCACCACAAAAAUGAACACUGCAUGACAAAGUCCUUGGACCUUGAUUUUUUAUGCCUAAAUUACACCUGAAGUGUUGGCUAAUGUUACUCCCAAUGAAAUUCAGGUUUGACUAAUCUAUUCCUUAAUACCUGCUUGUUGUAGACAAAAAAAAAAGUGUAAUAUGUAUCAAAAUGAAAUAUUUUUUCCUAAAUUAGAGUAUUUUAAUAUAAAGUUAACUGAAGUGAAUUUGCCAUGGAAGUGGGCCAUCGGGAUCUGGCUGUGCUGAGGUGCAGAGCUGGCUUGGCUUUUUUGGUAUGCAAGUUAUUUCUGUAGAUAUACCCUGCCUGUAAGUUUUGCUAAACUAGAAGUGCAAAAACAGUUGUAGGAGUUAUCUGAGAAGGGGAGAGGAGGAUUUAAAACAAAGAGGUUGUGUUUUACUUUGCUUGUAAAAAGCAAAGGGAAAUUUGGGGAUAAUGUGUAUUAUAUAUGCUUUUUAACAACUAGAAUAAAAGAGAAGAUACAUUUUACGUCUGGAAAGAAUAAUUUUCUUGAUUCAGAUGCUAAAUAAAAUGAUGAUAAUUCCUCCCUCAAACAUGAAGUGCAUAAAUAACUUACUCAAGAGUACUGAUUUUGUUGUGCAGUAUAUUCAUAAAUAUUAGAUAAAAGAAGAAUCUUAGUUACAGAAAGAAACAAAGGCUAGUGCCCAAGUGUCUUGGGUUUUCCUUUUAUUAAAAUAGAUUAGUAGUCUUGCUUGGAUUCUUAAAAAUAAUUUCUGUCCAGAAGUUAAACAUGUUUAAAUAAAUGGAUUGCAUAUAUUUCCAAAGAAAGAAGGACCCAACACUGCUAUCAGAUUUAUGGAGAAAGUUCCUUGUUUUUAUUCUGGUAGAUUAAAAAAUAUAUUUUAAAUAAAGUACAGUUUCUCUUGGAUACUUAAUAAUAGUUUGUAUGUUCGAUGUAUUAAAAAAAAAUGUUUUCUAGAAAAGAGUCUGUUUUGGUAGGAACUGGAAGUUUUCACUGUUGUUUUAAAAAAAAGAUACCACGAGGUUACAUUUCUUAGGAACAUUUAAAAAUACCUUUGACAUGUGUAGCAAUACAAAGUGUUAUUCAAAGCUUGAUCAUUUAAAGAGAAUUAAUAGAAAUCCAUUUUGUUCAGACCUGAAAUCUGAAAGGACAAGACUGAACAAGACGUUCGUGCCCCUUUUUUAAAAAAAAGAACAAACAGUCAUAUCCUGAAGUGUUGACUGAGCUGUUCACUCAUAGUUCUCCUUGGUUUUAAAGGUGCCCUUCUCCUUGUCUGCAGCAUAUGAUAAGGGAAGUGACUUCUCCUUUUGUAAACCUGCAUAAUGAUUCUUGGGACUGAUUCAAUUUGAUUUGAUUUGGGGAAGCUGAGAACAGGAAAGUUUCUGGCACUUCUAUUGUCCUUAUCUUGCAUCAUAAUUAUUAGCAAAGGGCACUACAGAGAAAACUGUUCACAAAGGCCACUGAUUUUGGGUAGUAUAGACAAGACCUCAAAACAGUUAAGCAGUUUCAUGGAAAUGGACAAAGCUAGAGGGGAAGGAAGGCUUUGUUUCCUCUGUGUUUCCAAAUAUUUACAGGGAACUACAUAAAACAUCCUGGCUUCUGAACUAGGAAAUCACAUUUAUUUCCUUCAUAAGGAGAAGGAAAAAUAAGGAAAAUCCUAUUCCCACAAAGGCAUUCAGCUAGAAAUAGAAAUGAAAUAGACUUUAGCAUUUAAAGUGAGAACUUAUUUAUACCUUAAUUUUUAUCUUUAUGCAUAUCUUUUAAACCAAGUUCUAGUGUAGACGUGUAUUUCAUAACUAGUUCUGACCACAGAAAAUAAUUUUGUCUGACAUGAUGGCUAUAAAAACCACAUUUCAUGGCUUACCUUCACUUCUGCCUCCUGCCAGUCAACAUGAGUACUCAUGGUCCAGUCUGGUGGGACAGUGAAGAGGAACACCUCCACUGCUUACAGCCUCUGGUGAAGCCAGUGUUUUUUAGAGAAGUACCAAAACCUAACUCAGCACACUUGGAGAGCUGUGAAUGCCCAGGUGGCCAAGAAGGCCAAUGGCUUCCUGGCCUGGAUCAGCAAUAGUGUGGCCAGCAGAACCAGGCCAGGGAUCAUCUCUCUGUGCUCGGCACUGCUGAGGCUGCACCCCAAAUCCUGUGUCCAGUUCUGGAUCCCUCAUUACAAGAAAGACAUUGAGGUGCUGGAAUGAACCCAGAGAAAGGAAACGGAGCCUGGGAAGGGUCCAGAGCAGAAUUCUGAUAAGGCAGAUAAGGGUGUUUAGUCUGGAGAAGUCUCAGGGGAGCCCUUAGUGCUCUCUAAAACCACUUGAGAGGAGACUGUAGCCAGACAGGGUCUCUUCUCCCAGGUAAUAAAUGACAGGACAAGAGGAAACAGCCUCAACUUGAGCCAGGGGAGGUUGAGAUUGGAUAAUUAGGAAAAAUGUGGUCACUGAAAGGGUUGUCAAGCUGUGGAACAGGCUGUGUGGAGAAGUGGUGGAGUCACCAUCCCUGGAGGCGUGCAUAACCCAAUAUGCACUCCAUUUGCUUUUGCAAUUUAGAUGUGGCACUUGGGGACACGGUCUAGCGGUGGGCUCGGCAGUGCUGGGUUACCAGUUGUUCUCGAUGAUCUUAACCCCUGAAGGUCCUUUCCAAGUUGCAGGACUCCGUGACUGUGCAUCCCAGCACAGGGACCGGAUGAGGCUCGCCAGGUCCGUGCCGCAGUGCCCGCGUUGUGCCACCAGGCGGCGGCAGUGAGGGCGGCGCUGCUGCCGUGCCGCGCUCCGGGCGCCGGGCGGCGCUGGGCGGGAGCGGCACCGCGCUCACAGCCCCCACCGCAUCCCGGUGAUCCGCAGCCUCUGGAUCGCUCUGCUCUCACCGGAUCCUGGUGCUACACAGCCACUGGACUACCCUGCACUUAUCCCGCUGGGAGAUCUGCGCUAUUGCGGAGAACUGACGCGGGCAGCUCGUCCCGGCGCGGGACGUUUCAUCACAACUGACGCUGUUCCAUCGCCCCCUCCGGGCAGGAAAAACUCCCAAUGCCAAGAGAGGGGGAAAGGAAUGAAGCACCUUGAGGCACAAGUUUCACGGUGGUCACUUGACUCAAGUGCACUACAGGUACUUUUGCUGGACGUCUUUAUAGUAAAUAAAUACAAACAAACGUACAUCCUAGUCUCUGAGGAGGAAAUAUGCUGCUUUUUGUCCCACUUUAACAGGCUCCCGAUAAAGUUUGCUCUGAGGCACUGGGCAGACCCUGCAGUAAAGCACCCUCCAAGUCAUUCCAUUCCUUUAGCCAGGCAGACCAAGUGUUGAAGGGAGUUCUAACCUGGCAAUUACUCUGAGAUACUUAAAUCUCAACUUACUAUUACCCUUGAGAGGGAUGAUGGGUUUGUCUUUACAAAGAAGCAGUGGGUCUGCUGAUAAGAUGCAGCUAUCACUGAGAGACAACAGAAACAAUAGGAUAGAUUCCACUGAAAGAUGAAAGAGGCACUGAAAGAGCACCAUGGAUUCCACAAGAGUUAAGAAUUAAGAAAUGAUUAUGCAUUGUGGAGGGGGAAGGUAUCCCAGGUAUGAGGCGUUCCGGGAAGCCUGUACCUCUCAAGUACUUCAGCCAAUGGGGAAAGAGAGAAGGGACAAGCGGCCGGGAAUUAGGAUAAAAAGGAGGCUGCGCCCUCCAAAAUUUUGAGAGACCCCAGGGGAAUGCCCCAUGGCCUCUCCCUUUAUUUGAAUAAAGUAAAAGGACUCCUCUGUCUCCUUUUUGGACA